This 468-nucleotide ribosomal RNA is filed under the name uncultured bacterium. RNAcentral describes it as "partial 16S ribosomal RNA". It matches the Rfam family "Bacterial small subunit ribosomal RNA", at positions 28 to 507 of the family's 1533-position model. The record is from RNAcentral.
GACGAACGCUGGCGGCGUGCUUAACACAUGCAAGUCGAACGGAAAGGCCCUGCUUUUGUGGGGUGCUCGAGUGGCGAACGGGUGAGUAACACGUGAGUAACCUGCCCUUGACUUUUGGAUAACUUCAGGAAACUGGGGCUAAUCCCGGAUAGGAGCUCCUGCUGCAUUGUGGGGGUUGGAAAGUUUCGGCGGUUGGGGAUGGACGCGCGGCUUAUCAGCUUGUUGGUGGGGUAGUGGCUUACCAAGGCUUUGACGGGUAGCCGGCCUGAGAGGGUGACCGGCCACAUUGGGACUGAGAUACGGCCCAGAAUCCUACGGGAGGCAGCAGUGGGGAAUAGUGCAAAAUGGGCGGAAGCCUGAUGCAGCAACGCCGCGUGCGGGAUGAAGGCCUUCGGGUUGUAAACCGCUUUCGCCUGUGACGAAGCGUGAGUGACGGUAAUGGGUAAAGAAGCACCGGCUAACUACGUG